CGUAAUUCAAUUCAGAAUCAUUAUCUUCUUUUCUAAAGCUCUCCUUUUCAAGUUUCCACUGUCUCUCUCUCGCUGUUGUAUUCAGUUAUUUUUAGAGUUGUAAUCAGACGCCAUGGAACGUGCUCGAAGCAAAACGCGCAUAAAAUUUAAUUCUGUAAAACGGGGAUAAAAUUGGUCACGCGAUUGGUUAAAUUUCGAAACUUUUGCCGCGAACCGUCGCCGAAAUCGAAUUUGAUGCUUCUGAUUGGUGUUCUAUACGCGUCAUCAGUGCUUCUUGUAGUAGUUAUCGCAAAUUCGAGUCAAGCUGGAGACGCGGUCGCGGUCGGUGCAUUAUAAGUCCGUAGUGUGUUAAAGAGGUAGGAUGUUUUGUUCGCGUCUUUUAAAUUCGACUUGCCGAGCUAACUUUUUCGCAGAAGUAGUUUUAUAUUUUUCUACGUGAAAGAUUCAAGAUAAACGAGUGAGGAGAUUGAAGAUCAUUUUGAUGCUACGGAAAAAACAAGUCGUCUCCCUCCUAAGGUGUUUUAUCUGUUAACUUUUCAUCUUGGAGGCUCUUAUAGUUAAUUAAUUAAGAGGAACAUCAGAAGAACUCCAGAUGCCAUUAAAUUAUGGACCAUUGGUUGUGUUAGUUAUCAAUUGCUCCGGAAAGUAGUUGUACCUAUG
Molecule: long non-coding RNA, 660 nt
Organism: Agrilus planipennis (emerald ash borer)
Lineage: Eukaryota; Metazoa; Arthropoda; Insecta; Coleoptera; Buprestidae
Exons: 3
Source: RefSeq, a predicted model, not a curated record